This 253-nucleotide ribosomal RNA is filed under the name uncultured bacterium. RNAcentral's name for it is "partial 16S ribosomal RNA". It matches the Rfam family "Bacterial small subunit ribosomal RNA", at positions 524 to 776 of the family's 1533-position model. The record is from RNAcentral.
UACGAACCGUCCAAACGUUAUUCGGAAUUACUGGGCUUAAAGGGUGCGUAGGCGGCGCGGAAAGUUGGGUGUGAAAUCCCUCGGCUCAACCGAGGAACUGCGCCCGAAACUACCGUGCUCGAGGGAGAUAGAGGUGAGCGGAACUUAGGGUGGAGCGGUGAAAUGCGUUGAUAUCCUAAGGAACACCCGUGGCGAAAGCGGCUCACUGGGUCUCUUCUGACGCUGAGGCACGAAAGCUAGGGUAGCGAACGGG